Molecule: unclassified non-coding RNA, 211 nt
Filed under: plant metagenome
Description: partial contains small subunit ribosomal RNA, internal transcribed spacer 1, and 5.8S ribosomal RNA
Source: RNAcentral
UUUCCGUAGGUGAACCUGCGGAAGGAUCAUUCAUAAUAAAGUGUUUUAUGGCACUUUUUAAAAAUCCAUAUCCACCUUGUGUGCAAUGUUAGAUCUCGUCAAUCUUGGCGAGAUUUUUAUACAUCAACUCAUUUUUUAACAAAUUUGUCUGAAAAAUAUUAUGAAUACUUAAUUCAAAAUACAACUUUCAACAACGGAUCUCUUGGCUCUC